Non-coding RNA from Cordylochernes scorpioides, 74 nucleotides. Lineage: Eukaryota; Metazoa; Arthropoda; Arachnida; Pseudoscorpiones; Chernetidae. The record is from the annotation of a GenBank genome assembly.
CCCAGGGUAGCCUAGUGGACAUGGCAUCUGCCCGGUAAGCGGAAGGUCGUGGGUUCGAUUCCCAUCCCUGAACA